GAUGAAGAACGAAGCGAAAUGCGAUAAGUAAUGUGAAUUGCAGAAUUCAGUGAAUCAUCGAAUCUUUGAACGCACAUUGCGCCCGCCAGUAUUCUGGCGGGCAUGCCUGUCUGAGCGUCAUUUCAACCCUCAUGCCCCUAGGGCGUGGUGUUGGGGAUCGGCCAAAGCCCGCGAGGGACGGCCGGCCCCUAAAUCUAGUGGCGGACCCGUCGUGGCCUCCUCUGCGAAGUAGUGAUAUUCCGCAUCGGAGAGCGAUGAGCCCCUGCCGUUAAACCCCCAACUUUCCAAGGUUGACCUCAGAUCAGGGAGGAAUACCCGCUGAACUUAAGCAUAUCAAUAAGCGGAGGA
Molecule: unclassified non-coding RNA, 348 nt
Filed under: soil metagenome
Description: partial contains 5.8S ribosomal RNA, internal transcribed spacer 2, and large subunit ribosomal RNA
Rfam family: 5.8S ribosomal RNA (bases 1-120)
Source: RNAcentral